This 22-nucleotide microRNA is filed under the name Anolis carolinensis (green anole). RNAcentral's name for it is "aca-miR-5466". Lineage: Eukaryota; Metazoa; Chordata; Lepidosauria; Squamata; Anolidae. The record is from miRBase by way of RNAcentral.
UGGAUGAUGGGCAAAGAACUGC